This 497-nucleotide ribosomal RNA is filed under the name uncultured bacterium. RNAcentral's name for it is "partial 16S ribosomal RNA". It matches the Rfam family "Bacterial small subunit ribosomal RNA", at positions 28 to 507 of the family's 1533-position model. The record is from RNAcentral.
GAUGAACGCUGGCGGCGUGCCUAAUACAUGCAAGUCGAGCGAACAGAUGAGGAGCUUGCUCCUCUGACGUUAGCGGCGGACGGGUGAGUAACACGUGGAUAACCUACCUAUAAGACUGGGAUAACUUCGGGAAACCGGAGCUAAUACCGGAUAAUAUAUUGAACCGCAUGGUUCAAUAGUGAAAGACGGUUUUGCUGUCACUUAUAGAUGGAUCCGCGCCGCAUUAGCUAGUUGGUAAGGUAACGGCUUACCAAGGCAACGAUGCGUAGCCGACCUGAGAGCGUGAUCGGCCACACUGGAACUGAGACACGGUCCAGACUCCUACGAGAGGCAGCAGUAGGGAAUCUUCCGCAAUGGGCGAAAGCCUGACGGAGCAACGCGGAGUGAGUGAUGAAGGUCUUCGGAUCGUAAAACUCUGUUAUUCGGGAAGAACAAAUGUGUAAGUAACUAUGCACGUCUUGACGGUACCUAAUCAAAAAGCCACGGCUAACUACGUG